Pseudopipra pipra is the source of this 1800-nucleotide long non-coding RNA. RefSeq lists it as uncharacterized. Lineage: Eukaryota; Metazoa; Chordata; Aves; Passeriformes; Pipridae. The record is from RefSeq and is a predicted model, not a curated record. The transcript has 3 exons.
CUUUGGGAUUGUGUGUCCAGCACUGAGGGCUAUGCUGUUUGUUAUCUGCUUAUAAUCAAUUUAAUUCUAGGACCUAUCAGGCAGGGCUGAUGGUUUUGGUUUUUACUUCCACAGUCACUUGCAUAUUCAGGCCUGACCUAUAAGUGGUGUUUCUGCAAUGGAAAUAAUCAGCAGAGUAGUACAGAACAGUGCCAUUUGAUGGAUGGCACUUUUAGCCAUAAAAGCCAGCACCUGUGGGAAUAACAGUGGAUUUUAGGAGGGAUUCACAUAGAGAGGAUGACCCAGCACUGGGGUAAGCUCGAGUUUUCCUGUUGCAGAGAGGGCAGGAGAAGCUAUGUUGGAGGGUGAGUCCUGUCACUGGGCUGGGAGGUCGCAGUGGUGUGCUCCAGGGUGCAGGUUCAUUGUGGAAUUCCAGCCUCCUCACAAAUGCUGACUCUCUGCCUGAAUGUAUUUGUACCUAAAGGCCCUUUUGCCUAAAUUAGAAAUUAAGUUUAGUAACAUUUUGUGAGGGUGCUUCUUGCGCUUGUGAUGAAACCAAAGAGCAUAUUGAGGAGAGAUUUAUGUCUUUCCACAGAGAGUUGCUGUAAGGGCAGUUGUGGUUUCUUUCUGGUUUUGGUUUUAUUUUAAUGGAACAGUGAUUUUAUUUUAAUGUUUCAAUUUUGGGCUCCCAGUUUGGGUUUGAAAGCUGAAGCUGCUGUUUCCCUCAGUAGUACACACUUAGAGGUGGAAUUUCUGCUUUAGUUUUCAAUCUCUUGUGCUUUUGUCAUUUUUUUAUCACAACCUUAUGUAUUCUUUAAACACUUUUUUAUUUAAUCAUUUAUUCUUUUAAGUGGGCUUAAUUGUAUAAAGAUUAUCAUGCAUAAAGAGACAUCUAUAAUUAGAAGGGGGGAUUGGUGCUAUUAGACAGUGUUUUAGUAAGGAAAAUUACAGUGUUCAUAAACUGUUUGGAGAAUGGAGGCAGCAUAUAUUAACAUGCAACAGGUUUUAUGUAAUCCUAACAGAGGAUUGACUCUUGCUCACUUGGAUGAGUUUGGGCUGCUCCAGUAUUUUUUCUCCAAGCUUAGUGCUCCCCUCUCUUCCUUCUUUUCCUCCUGGUGGGCAAGUGGAAACAAUCCUGUCUCUGCUUUUCCUUGAAAGCAGGAAUUACUUGUAAUAAUUGACAGUUUUAUAUCUGUUGGGCUGUGAAGAGCUGUGCCUUUGGCUGCUCUGCUGCCCGUGGCUGGUGGGGAACCUGUCACCCUUCAGAUGGACAUGCUCUUGGGACAAUCCAGGUGAUUUCCAGCUCUCCUGAAAAGAACAUGUCACCACUGCUGUUCUUUUCCCUUGUGGCUCCUGUUGGUGUGCACGUUCAAGAGUACGAGUAAGCAAAGCUAUUGUGAUGCUCCAUUCCAGGGGGGGGAUUUAUUGUUACCCUGCACAUCAUUUGUGAGCUGCAGCAAGCAGAAGUUGGUGUGUGCCAUGGCUUGGCAGCCUGCCUGCAAUCAGUGGAUUGUCAGGAGUUCUUCUCCCUCCCUUCCCCCAUUGAAAUGACAUGGCUGCGGGGGACCAUUGAUUUCUGCUCUCCACGUUGAAUAAAUGGAGGCAAGAAUAAGUAUGUGAGGCAGCUGGUGAGGAGCUUUCUGGUCAUUUCAAGGUUGGGAAGCAUUCUUUGGGGAGUGAUGCAUCAUUGUUACACGGCCUCAAAGCAAAAAAGGCAGCUGCAUCCAGGCCCUGUGACAAAGGGUACCAAGCAGCAUCUUGAAUGUACCAGCCUAGAGGUAUCUGAAAAGCUCCCCAAAUAAAUUGCCUUUGUUAGACAUG